RNAcentral lists this ribosomal RNA (254 nucleotides) under uncultured bacterium. Its description in RNAcentral is "partial 16S ribosomal RNA". It matches the Rfam family "Bacterial small subunit ribosomal RNA", at positions 524 to 776 of the family's 1533-position model. The record is from RNAcentral.
UACGUAGGGUGCGAGCGUUAAUCGGAAUUACUGGGCGUAAAGCGUGCGCAGGCGGUCUGUUAAGACCGAUGUGAAAUCCCCGGGCUUAAUCUGGGAACUGCAUUGGUGACUGGCAGGCUUUGAGUGUGGCAGAGGGAGGUAGAAUUCCACGUGUAGCAGUGAAAUGCGUAGAGAUGUGGAGGAAUACCGAUGGCGAAGGCAGCCUCCUGGGCCAACACUGACGCUCAUGCACGAAAGCGUGGGGAGCAAACAGG